AAUGGGCGCAAGCCUGAUCCAGCCAUGCCGCGUGAGUGAUGAAGGCCCUAGGGUCCUAAAGCUCUUUCGCCUGUGAAGAUAAUGACGGUAGCAGGUAAAGAAACCCCGGCUAACUCCGUGCCAGCAGCCGCGGUAAUACGGAGGGGGUUAGCGUUGUUCGGAAUUACUGGGCGUAAAGCGCGCGUAGGCGGAUUAGUCAGUCAGAGGUGAAAUCCCAGGGCUCAACCCUGGAACUGCCUUUGAUACUGCUAGUCUUGAGUUCGAGAGAGGUAAGUGGAAUUCCGAGUGUAGAGGUGAAAUUCGUAGAUAUUCGGAGGAACACCAGUGGCGAAGGCGGCUUACUGGCUCGAUACUGACGCUGAGGUGCGAAAGUGUGGGGAGCAAACAGGAUU
This 392-nucleotide ribosomal RNA is filed under the name uncultured Gammaproteobacteria bacterium. RNAcentral's name for it is "bacterial SSU rRNA". It matches the Rfam family "Bacterial small subunit ribosomal RNA", at positions 370 to 779 of the family's 1533-position model. The record is from RNAcentral. Lineage: Bacteria; Pseudomonadati; Pseudomonadota; Gammaproteobacteria.